GACGAACCGUGCGAACGUUGUUCGAAAUCACUGGGCUUAAAGGGCGCGUAGGCGGGCUGUCAAGUCCGGGGUGAAAUCUUUCGGCUUAACCGGAAAAGUGCCUCGGAAACUGACAGCCUUGAGGGUGACAGGGGCAUGCGGAACAUCCGGUGGAGCGGUGAAAUGCGUAGAUAUCGGAUGGAACGCCGGUGGCGAAAGCGGCGUGCCGGAUCACUUCUGACGCUGAGGCGCGAAAGCUAGGGUAGCGAACGGG
RNAcentral lists this ribosomal RNA (253 nucleotides) under uncultured bacterium. RNAcentral's name for it is "partial 16S ribosomal RNA". It matches the Rfam family "Bacterial small subunit ribosomal RNA", at positions 524 to 776 of the family's 1533-position model. The record is from RNAcentral.